CCCUGGGGACCUGGAGGCUGGCAUGUGCUAAUUGGAUGACGGCAUUGGUCUGACUGGCCUUGUAAGUGUGUACACAGGCAGUGAGCGGAGCACAAUUCAAACAGAAUCAUCUUGAAGAUGCUUUGAUUCCCACAGCUAAGCAGUCUGACCCUGCACUCCUGGGAUCUUGGCAGAACUCUGCUGUACUGCUAUCAGUGAGAACUGGACUUGGGAAUCAGCUCUGUGGGGAAAUGUUGCUGUCACUGCUCUGUUCUUCCCAGACUUCCCAGACUCCAUGAACCCUGCAAGGUCUUAAUUUGUCCAUCUUCACAGUGAGCAUCAUCCAGACUAGUCACAUGUUCUGCCAAGCACUUCAGAUACAAGACUUUCCAGGUGGUUUGUGAUAUCCCUGAGGUCUAAGCCAUAGGAGCCUGUGGACAGCCGAGAAGGAGUCCCCACCGCUAGUUGCUCCUGGUCUUUCCUGCACUAAGGUCCCCUCCUGGAUCAGCCUCACUCCUGAAGCCCCAGGCAGAACGGCUCCCUCCUUAGCAAUCACAGGUAUGGAGCUGACUGCAGAGCAAAGCACGGCAGGGGACUCAGCCCUGGAGUCAGGCUCCCAGCUGCUGCCGGGGUUCCUGUCCUGACUCAACUGCUUACCCGCUGUGUGGAGCUCCUGCCAGUUGAGGUUUCCAGGAAUACACACACACUCUCCUAUGCAGGAGAGAUUCAUCUCAGGCUACUUGAAGCAGAGGCCACAUGGAUCCAAUGCUCUCUGCCACUCAGCUCCUCUAGGAGAACCCGCCAGGCCCCGGGGGGCUGCCGAGCUUCGUUCUUAUUCAUCAUUGCUGGGAACUGCACCUUUCCUCCAGGCUGUGUGGGGAUGUGCAUCACCAUGGAAACGCUAGAGGUGAAAUCACUCAAGUGCCUGUGGCCAUGUCGUCUCUCUGCCGCCAAGCUGCACUGGAGGUGUCUCACGAGCUCGCUGACCUCCUGCUGUCAGCCUUCCUCCUCAAGCUCAAGGUGUGAACCUGCUUUCUGCCCCAGGAUCUUCUCUGAUGGCCACCCUGAAGCUCAACCUGGAGUGGGACAAGUUAACUCCUGCUGGGGGCAACCCUCUAACUCUGAACCUAUUGGUGAUGGGAGCUGGGAGAAAGCCACCCACCCUGGUGUUCUUCAGGGGAAUAAUUCUAGAAGGGUAUUCUACACACUUCCCAGAGGGUCAUGGCAGCACGGAGCUACCAACCUGCAGGAACUUCCAUCACAUCACCCACUUUUAUUGACUCCUCCCCCAACCGUGUCUGAGAUCUGUCCAUCCUCCAUCCUGCUGCCUGGGAUCACCUCACAAAUAAACUGCUUACACCCAGGUCCUUAUCUCAGGGUCAGCUGUUGGAGGAACCUGAACACACACCUCCACUGCUUGUGUGUGUGUUAGUCAUUCAGGCAUGUCUGACUCUUUGGGACCCCAUGGAAUGUAGCCCAUCAGGCUCCUCUGUCCAUGGAAUUCUCCAGGCAAGAAUCCUGGAGUGGGCUGCCAUUCCCUUCUCCAGGGGAUCUCCUGACCCAGGGAUCAAACCCGGUCUCCUGCAUGGCAGGCAGAUUCUUUACCACUGAGCAACCAUGGAAGCACUGCCCCCCCCCGCCCCCCUGCCACCACCCCUGCCCGCUCCCUCCGCCCCCCCCCCCCCCGCCAUUCAAGUGUAAGAUCAAUGUGAAGACACGCUCAGCCUUGAAAAGACUGUUUUUUCACACAUGGCAGGUGGGUCAUCUUCUUUCUCCAUACCCACAGGUUCACCAAGCCUUCUUUCUACAUACAGGCACCACUUUGGAGAAGAGACGCAGAAGAAAUGUUAAAGUGAAGCAUGUACUUCCCCAAAGAGACAUGUGCAAGGUAGCAUAGGUGAUAGAAAAUACAUAAGUUGGCAAAUACUGGUUUUGAUUUUUUUCCUCCCCCUCCCCAACCCCCUUUGCCCUGCAGUGAGGAGAACUGUGUGGUAGUUCAAAGAGCACCCCUAUUUUUUAAAAUAUUCACUUGGCUGCACAGGGUCUUAGCUGCGGCAUGUGGACUAGUUCUUUGUUGUUGUUUAGCCGCUCAGUUGUGUUCAACUCCAUGACCCCAUGGACUAUAGCCUGUCAGGCGCCUCUGUCCUGGGCUUUCCCAGGCAAGAAUGCUGGAGUGGAUUGCUAUUUCCUUCUCCAGGGGAUCUUCCCAACCCAGGGAUUGAACCUAUGUCUCCUGCACUGGGAGCAUGGAGUCUUAGCCACUGGAUCACCAGGGAAGUCCAGAGAGUACUUCCUUAAGGCAGACCUAUCAGCCUUUUGGACAAACUACCUCCCAGGUCCCAUCUCUCAAGAUU
Long non-coding RNA from Capra hircus (goat), 2333 nucleotides. The record is from Ensembl. NCBI's taxonomy places the organism in Eukaryota, Metazoa, Chordata, Mammalia, Artiodactyla, Bovidae.